CACAGACCAACCUAACCCAGACCACUGAAAUUCUAAACUCUGAAAUUCUAAGCUUCAGCGUCCCAAGCUGGGAGACACCGAGACCGGCCCUGACCCCGCCAUGGGCCCCGGGCCAUUGUGGUUGGUGGCCGUUUGUGUCCUGGGAGCAGGCCCUGCAGACGCUGGAAUCACCCAGACCCCCAGACACCUGGUCACCGGCCGGCAACAGAACGUGACCCUGCACUGUGAGCAGGACCAGAACCACGAUGCCAUGUACUGGUACCGGCAGGACCCGGGACAAGGCCCCCAGACGCUCUUCUACUUCUACUAUGAGAAACUCCAAGAUAAUAACACGGUCCCCGAGAGAUUCUUUCCUGAGCAGCCAAAAAAAUCUGUCCGCCUCACAGUGAGAGUGCUGGCCCCGGAGGACUCGGCUGUGUAUCUCUGCGCCAGCAGCAAGGACACAGCGCUGCAGGGCCUGGCCCUCCCCGUGCACAAACAGACCCCUCUCCAAAGCUGCCAGGAGCAGAGACCCCCGCCCCAUUUCAAAGGGACUCAGGAACACCCACCCCGAUGGAGCCUCUGACCUUGGGGUCCUCUCUCUUUCCCCCUAGCCCAAACCGACCCCUUCCCAAAGCCGCCAGGAUGGGGAGGGGCUGCCAGGAGCAAAGACCCCUGCUCCAUUCCAUAGGGUUUCAGGAACACUCACACUCACACUCACCUUUUCCCACAGCCCACCUCUGCCUCCUCCCCACUGCGCCCCUCGAUGCCCUCAGACCCGGCUUUUCCAGCCUCUCCUUUUGUCCGGCGCCUACAGCAGCUCCCACUGAGGUCAGAGACACUUCCCCCUGUUUCCUGCCCCAACGGGCCCGCUGAAGGAGGGGAGGGAGCCCAGAGCGGGGAGCAGGAGGAGGCGGGAUACCACAGAAUGGAGCUUGCAUAUGAUCUCAAGCUCUUAGAGAAACAGUGUGGCUUAGUGAA
Molecule: non-coding RNA, 960 nt
Organism: Ornithorhynchus anatinus (platypus)
Lineage: Eukaryota; Metazoa; Chordata; Mammalia; Monotremata; Ornithorhynchidae
Source: the annotation of a RefSeq genome assembly